AAGUUUCAACAACGGAUCAUCUUGGCUCUCGCAUCGAUGAAGAACGC
Molecule: ribosomal RNA, 47 nt
Filed under: uncultured fungus
Lineage: Eukaryota; Fungi
Description: partial 5.8S ribosomal RNA
Source: RNAcentral